AAAAAAAUUAUGCUUACGAAAAGGUUGGAUGAGUCCAUUCUGGACGGCCUGCAGUGUAGCAGGAUAUUUCUUGUCCUUAAUUACUCUGUCCUCUGGUAGGAACAGAAAAUACAGUUAAUCCAUUACAUUCUGUCCUCAGAGCAGAAACUCCCCUUGAUUAUUUCAACUUUUAAAAUACUCAUUGUGUUUGAAUGAAUGUGGGAUUGACCAGCAGCCUCUUUUAGUGGACUUUCUUUACAAAACCCAAUGACUCUACCUGUCUGUUUGCUAAGAAUGUGAACUUCUCAUCUCAUAGGGAAUGCAAGACUCACUCUCCAGCAAACCUAGAAAACUUAGAUAUCCUUGCUUCUCAUCUAAUGAGACAGAUAUAUUCUUCUGUCCAGAAGGGAGGUGUGACAUGGAUUCCAUGCCACUGGGCAACUGUUCAACUGUCCUGAAGAAAUGGUGGGUGUUGUCUCCAUGUUUUCUGUGAAGGACACUCUCUCAGCCUAAUGCCUCCUCAGUGACCUCUAACUUUGAUCUCUGAACUGGGUCCUCCCAGGACCCAGAGGGAAGAUCAAUCACUCAGGAUGUUCCAGGCCACCAGGUCAAGUGGCAGAAGUUCAUCCUCUGGGAUUCUUUGUCUUCAGGACCUCUGUAACAUCGAUUGUCAGCUUGACAAGCCAGCCAAGUCUUUGUGUACAAUCCAUAGACAGAACUGGGAAGAGCAAACCAUGAGAGGCCAGCACUAAACCCUCAGGGUAGCUAAAGAGGAAGCAUGGUAAUACGUCAUUCUGCAACAGAAAAAACAAAUAAUCUGCUCUGCAUGUAUCCAGCAUCAUGUGAACAUGAACCAGAUGAGUAACAUCUGGGCCUCUGUUUGCCCAUCUGUAAAAGGGCUGGUUGCCCCUUCUUGCAAUGGACAAGGCUGCAUCCGCAGAGUUCUAGUCUUGUGUCUUGUGUCCUUGCCACAUCCUCCUCUGGGAGCACACAGCAAAAGCUCAGUUAUUGUUAGCCCCCUUCUCUCAACCUCCCCAGUCAUUGCACACUCAUAGAGAAAGGACAAUCCGAUCUUUAUGUGACCAUGAUAAAAUUUGAUGAGAGAUCAGCAAAACAUAAAGGAAGGUUCUUAAAUGACAUAUUUAUCCCAACAUUGUUCUGGGAAGAAAAGUAUCCAUUGUAAAAACUAAACAUGUCCAAUUAAAUGAUAAAUGCAG
Molecule: long non-coding RNA, 1196 nt
Organism: Mandrillus leucophaeus (drill)
Lineage: Eukaryota; Metazoa; Chordata; Mammalia; Primates; Cercopithecidae
Exons: 4
Source: RefSeq, a predicted model, not a curated record